Molecule: ribosomal RNA, 436 nt
Filed under: Capnocytophaga gingivalis
Lineage: Bacteria; Pseudomonadati; Bacteroidota; Flavobacteriia; Flavobacteriales; Flavobacteriaceae
Description: bacterial SSU rRNA
Rfam family: Bacterial small subunit ribosomal RNA
Source: RNAcentral
GAUGAACGCUAGCGGCAGGCCUAACACAUGCAAGUCGAGGGAGAAGCCCUUUCGGGGGCAGAAACCGGCGCACGGGUGCGUAACGCGUAUGCAACCUACCUUUCACAGGGGGAUAGCCCGAAGAAAUUUGGAUUAAUACCCCAUAAUAUUAUUGGAUGGCAUCAUUUGAUAAUUAAAACUGCGGUGGUGAAAGAUGGGCAUGCGUCCUAUUAGCUAGUUGGAGUGGUAACGGCACCCCAAGGCUACGAUAGGUAGGGGUCCUGAGAGGGAGAUCCCCCACACUGGUACUGAGACAGGGACCAGACUCCUACGGGAGGCAGCAGUGAGGAAUAUUGGUCAAUGGUCGGAAGACUGAACCAGCCAUGCCGCGUGCAGGAAGAAUGCCUUAUGGGUUGUAAACUGCUUUUAUAUGGGAAGAAUAAGGCGUACGAGUACG